RNAcentral lists this ribosomal RNA (396 nucleotides) under uncultured bacterium. RNAcentral's name for it is "partial 16S ribosomal RNA". It matches the Rfam family "Bacterial small subunit ribosomal RNA", at positions 361 to 774 of the family's 1533-position model. The record is from RNAcentral.
AUAUUGGUCAAUGGGGGGAACCCUGAACCAGCGACACCGCGUGAGGGAAGAAGGUUUUCGGAUUGUAAACCUCUGUUGUCGGGGAAGAUAAUGACGGUACCCGAUGAGGAAGCCACGGCUAACUACGUGCCAGCAGCCGCGGUAAUACGGAGGAUGCAAGCGUUAUCCGGAUUUAUUGGGUUUAAAGGGUCCGUAGGCGGGCAUAUAAGUCAGAGGUGAAAUCCGACAGCUUAACUGUCGAACUGCCUUUGAAACUGUAUGUCUUGAGUGAGAUUGAAGCAGCUGGUAUGUGUAGUGUAGCGGUGAAAUGCAUAGAUAUUACACAGAACACCGAUAGCGUAGGCAGGUUGCUAAGUCUUUACUGACGCUGAUGGACGAAAGCGUGGGGAGCAAACA